Long non-coding RNA from Pezoporus occidentalis (night parrot), 781 nucleotides. RefSeq lists it as uncharacterized. The record is from RefSeq and is a predicted model, not a curated record. Lineage: Eukaryota; Metazoa; Chordata; Aves; Psittaciformes; Psittacidae. The transcript is spliced from 3 exons.
AGACGCCUUCACCUUUGGGACAGCGCCCGCCAUGUCCGCGCCCCCUCAGGGGCGGCUGGGGCCGGCGUGCAUCCCCCGCUGCGAGCGCUGCCUGCGGUACCUGUAUGAGGUGAAGAGUGCGGAAGUGGCCGCCAGGUGAACCUGAAAAACAGUGGGGGGAAAUACAUCUGCCAAACUUGGAAAAAACUGUCACAGAGAUUAUUGAACACAAGGGUAAAAUAAAAAAAAAAUCCAAACCCCAGAAGAACCUUCUGUCUUACAUUCCUACCUGAAGAAUAUAUGCUGCUCUGGUUUCCAUGGGAUGAAAGGGAUGAAGAAUUCUCCAAGAUACCAAGAAAAGAAAUGUAGAGAAAAGAAAGAAUUAUUUCAAACUCAGUAAAGAAGGGCUUUUAAAAAAGUCAGCUGAAGAAAGCUAUAGGCGAUCAUAAAGUUGUACAGAAAGGCCAUAGUUGAUCUAUGUAUAGGUGUUAUUCCAGGAAGGGGCUAUCCUUGCCCGAGCAACAGAGAUUUGUUUGGGUAAGCUAUUCUUCAAAACUUCUCUUAACAUCAGGUCAUCCAACAAAAGAUACUUCCCUGAAAUGGCAGAUGUCAUUGCUUUUGAUUUUCCUUAAAUAUUAGGCUUGAUUUAUGUGGUGGAACACAAAUCAUAUGGAAACAACCAUUGUUGUUUUUCAUUUACACAAGUGUAGGACAUCUGAAAAUAAGACAUGGGCCAACAUCAGAUCAUUUCAGUAAAGUGAUAAACUAAACCAGUACAUUUCCUGAGAACACUGGCGUGUGU